GUAUGGGCUGAAGGAGAAAGUAAAAGAAACGGCGUUAAGCUACCUUGAAAGUUCUUCUGUAUCUGUUUCACUUUGUUUGCUCUGAUGUAAGAAAUACUUCAAACAUCAACUGGUUAGCAGUUAUUCCAGGUUUUCUACUAUCAGCUGAGGCCUAGAAAGCCAAAACCACCUUUUAAAGCUGUUUCCUUCCUUCCCAUCCUCCUUAGGCUUUCCUGUAGGUGAAAGGAACCUUCAAAUGAUGUGUUUAGUUCUGAGAGGUCUUCGCGCUCGGGAACAGCACAGCUGAGGAUUCCCUGAGAUGUAGUAUUUACUUAAAUAGAUGACAGGAUGGUUUCCGUGAAGUUUUCCAGUCCCUUUCAGACCCUCUCUCACAGUACAUACAUGACACGAUCCAACACUGUUCUUUGUCUUGAGCCGCUGCGGUCUGCCUUUCUAGUUCUUUGUCUUUUGUUUUUGUGUUUGUUUUUGGUUUUGUUUCUGGUCAACUAUUUUGCCCAAAUUGAGUGUCUGGAACAACUGAUGCCACUCUGAAAGCCGUCUGGUAACGGAGGGAUGUUCUUACAUGUUUUCCUAUUUUUUCCUCCUACCACUCAUCAGUUGGAGUUGAUAUUCAUGCUCUGAAUUAACAGAAGUUAGCAGCACCACCCACAUUUCAUCAUGACUGUACAUAUGGUUCAGCUCUCACCAACAACAGGGAUGAGUUUUUAUUUAGUAGCUGGAUGGGGGCAUUUCACUGAGAUUCACAGGCACACCAACCCAGAGCUACCAGCCCUCAGUCGCACACGUUGUUCUUGUCCUGUAACUGCAGUCUUAGGGUACCCAGCCUUUGGCUGAUUUCUUUGUCCUUCCUAUAAGUGGCUGAUAGUGUGUAAGGGGAGAGGCAGCUGGUCAAGGAAUAAUUACUCACCUGUGCAGGUCUUAGUCAUAGGGAAUGAUGCUAGUGUAGUGGAGAGUAGGCAAGCACCUUGUGUACGUGGAUGAAAUUCCUGCUCACAACCUAGACUGGCUCCAUUGCGUGAGGCUUACCUCUGGCAGGGAAGUAGCAAGGGCACUGCUCAAGCUUCAGGGAGAAGAGGUAAGCUCUACAGCCCUAAUGAUGACCUGAACCAGGAUAAGCCCUGUUCAGCUUGGUCUUUCCCCUUAUGUUACACUCAGCCCUGAACAUCCCAUCUGUGUUCUGCAGCUCCUGGAUUUACUAAGCCAGGUCUUCUCCCCACAGGCAAGCUUCUACUUUGCUUCUCAUGUGACCCAGUCAGCUUUCUCUCUUUCAUCUUGCCAAACCUUUACAUCUCUCCCAUUUGUGCUCUCACUGUAACUCUUCCUCUGGGGUUUUCAGAACAGCACGUGCAUCUCAUUGCUUCUCACCUCAGCAAGGGGAGUUGGAGUACAGAGGUCACAGCCUAAUAUUGUUUUCUGCCAGACUGGUUCACCUGGACGUGUCUGCCAGCUCCUACUUUGCUGCUGGUUCCCAGCCAGCUCCCAGGAACUGUGAGAGGGGCAAGGUGAGAGGAAAAAAGAGGAGAAAGCAGCAGCAGCAAGACUUGCUCUGAAAAAAAAUGUGGAAAAACUGCUGUAGGCAGGCAGGCAGGCAGGCUGGUGUGGGCUGUGGUUUCUGCUCCUGUCCAGAGGACCACGGUGAUGCACAGUGGGCAGGCAGCCCACCUGUCCUCUGCAGUGCAGUGGGGAGUCCCCCAGAGAAAGAGAGGUGGGUUAGAGUGAUGAGGGGAGCAGGAGAUAGCUGGCAGAAGGAGGGCUCUAACAGCACUUCAGGGCCUGGCAGUCAGCACCCACUGUGGAAGCAGCAUGGGAUGGCUGCUAAUGCCAGUCCUGCUGCUGAGAACAGCCCUCCUUCCGCUUCACCCUUCCACUGCUGAGCUCACGGCCCAGUACGUCGUACUUGAGUAUUUUUUUUCCACAUAAAAGCAUUCUUUCUGGGCUAGCAGGCCAGAAGGCCUCCUUUUUCUCCCCACUGUCAUACACUCGCCCAACACUUGCAGCUGCUGUCCCUGAGAACCCGGGGCUCAGCACGCUCCUACAGCCUGCAUUCUCAGAAGUCUUAUUUAUGGCCACAUCUAAAUAAGAUGCAGAUUGAUUAAUUUGCAUAGGUGCCAGACACAGAGGUACACGAAACUGGGCAGGGAGGCCCAGAAGUGAGGGAGGUGCCGCAAGUGAGAGAAGAUGGGGCCCGUGCUCUGUGUAGCAAGGCUGGUGGCCAAGGGAGAUGGGGUUACACCAAUCCAGAGGCAGCCUCAGAUCAAAGCUGUGAAAGGAGUUGUAAAGCUAUUCUGCUCGCUGCAUGCACCGCUUUGCUGUAAGCAAAACUUUCUCAGUGGUCACACCGCUAUGCAUGUGAAGAAGUUGCUGCGUGAAGGCUCUGGAAAGGAGCCGGGUGUGAGAUACCACAGUCAAACCUGGCUGGAUUCAGCUCUGACAGUUCUGCAUUACCCAACUCUCACCUCCUCCCCCUCUGUAGAGGUCCCUGUGGCAGACCACGCUGGUACCACACCUCCCAUUCUUCAGAUCGCAGCCCAGUGCUUUAGCUUAAGCCAGUAAUAAAGGCAGGCCUGUGCAAUAGCACCCAGGUGUAAAUGAGGAUGUCCCCCAUGUGUGAAUCCAGCUCAGCUACCUGGCAAAAGAUAGCAGCUUUCUAUGACUGAGAUAUCUUUGUCCGUUUCUAGGAAAGGGGACAUCAGCAGAAGAGCUUCAUCAGAGCUCUGCAGAAACUCGGCUCCCCACUGAGAGCAUCUGCACAGGGCUCAACAUGUUGUUUGUGUUGUCUUCAUGCCUUCAGCUGAUUCAUCUUAAAUCUCUCAAGGGGCAACAUGGCAAAAGUUUGCCAAAAAAAAAAAAAAAAAAAACCAAACAAAAAAACCAAGGGAAAUUUUGCCUGUAGGCCCAGGAUAACCCUGAGAAAUGAUUGUGGAGGCACCUGUUAGCAGUGAGGUUACUUACAUCCUCUUUGUUUUCACUGCUUCUCUUUGCUAAGGCACGCUGGAAAUUCUGCUGUCGGAGGAUGACAGCAGUUUGGGGAUGUGGUUAUCUGCCUCCACUUGCUGCACUCUCAGCACUCCCUCUCAGUGGCUGAGUGGGAUGGCUAGAAAAUAGGGAGGAUGUGGCUUCUGCAUUCUGAAUCAUGACAGUUUUCACCCAGUGCUCUUAUCUGCAGUAAUUAAAAAAUCCAGCCAAGUAAUUAGACUGUAGCUGGUCUCAGGCUCCAUGGGCUCACAGUAGCUUCUUAAAUUUCAUACUCAUAAUAAUUAAUUUUUUUUUGUUUAUUUUAUUUUCUUUUUAAUCCACUAAUCUGAUACUAAAUGAAGGGCCAAGCUGAGGAACAGCAUUUUAAAAGUCAUUCUGUUACUUCCACUUCUCUUUUCAUUUCUUCCCUGAGGAGCUGUGAGUACCACGCUCAGUCUUUUGUAAAACCUUGCAGCAGGGUUGGAUGCAGGCUGCGUGCUGGGAAGUGUGAAGAUAUGUGAGUGAAGAUAUCCCAGCAAUCUGAUGUGGGCUGUUCCAACCUACCUUGGGACGGAGGAUGGAUGAGAUGGCCUUCAGAGAGCCCUUCCAGCCCUGUUUUCUCCAGUCUUUGUAAUAUAUAUGGGAACACGAUGACUAUAAAAGAGAUGGCUGCCUCUUGCUUCUGCAGUUGGGUCCCUUCCUUCCCAUGCCCACAUACAGUAGGUGAAUAAUGCAGUGAAUGAUGGGACCUGAGGGCCCCACAAGAUUCCUCUUGGUGAUCUCUGAGCUGAGUUCAGCUCUGUCUGGUGAUAGGAUUAUCUCAGUCCCUGAUCAAGACCAAACAAUGAUGCACUACACCCACAGAUAUUUCCUAUGAGAAAUUAUGCUCACAGCCUGAGGUUCAUGCUGUGCUAAGCACUAAAUCCAGUAGUGUGUGCAGAUCAGAUAUUGCAUUAAUAUCUAAUCCUGUGUGUAGCUGGACACCAAGCUCAAAUUCAUUUAUACACGUAAGCUUCACUUAAUUUAAUGAUGACCCUGGCCAAUGUUUUCUCACGUUGAAGAUUAGCUGGCGUGUCUGAACUGGGAGUUACUGCAGUAUUAAUCAUUUUCCUGGCUACUGCUUAGCUUAUCCCUGAAAUUCGUCUUCAAGCUUUGGACCACCUUUACCCUGGAAGCUGAACAAAACUGAAAUGCAGCAGUCUCAAAUUCUGUCGUAGCAAAUCUUAAACUGCCUACAUCUAAUGGAAAAAUCUGACAGGUGCCUUAUUUGGAACUGCUCUGGUUUAGGUAUGUCAUUCUAUUUUGUUCCCUUAAUACUUUUAGGUUAUGGUUUAGGGUUUAAUCUUCUGUGGAUUGCUGAGUUCAAUCAUAAUCUCUGACCGCAUCACAAUUAGUGGGGACCUCAUCUUCACGGCGUACAUCAGAAUUGGAAAUGAUCUUUUUAUCUUUUUUUUUUUCCUCUGUGAAGGUCUGAAAGCUAAGCAGAAAAGCAAUGAGAAAAGCCUACUUUCAUUUCACUGUGCAGGAUGGCACACAGAUGCGAAAUACUGGGCAGGAACAACCCGUAACUUUCCAGGAGUGAUUGGAGAGCUGCCUGAAGAACCCAGUGAAAGAUGCACUCAGACAACAUACGGAAGAAAAAGCUAGUGGCUUAUACCGAGGGUUAUAUAUAUUCACUACCAGAAGAGUAGUGACAGCACUCUGUCACCCGCCCCAGCUGAAUCAGUGCGUUAUUGUAUGUUGGCUGAAGGGAGGUUGUACUGAAGCUACCACAAAAGGGAUCCCAAAAUAAGCCAAACCUGCCCUUCCCCCCAGAGCCGCUUCUCACUGCUGUGGGAAGCAGCGGGCACGGAGGGCCUGCGCACCGUGGGCAGUGGCUGCAGGCCGUGUGGUGUAGGGCCUGCAAUUUCAGUGACGUUGGCAAGUUAAAGACACGCAAAAAAUGUUUAAAUCAUCCCAAGUGGUAAGAUAACAGACGAAUUAGCUCCAUUCCAACAGCUAGUUGGAAUUCCUUAGUGUUAACGCUGUUGGCAUAGGUACUAAAUUAUUCAGGUUGUUCUGCAGAAUAAUCUGCUCUGUAUUUACAUGCAUUCUAAAUAUUUUAUUUAAAAUACUUUGAUACGGCUUUCCACGUUAGCUGCAUUUUAGUUUGUCUUCAUCUCUGCUCUCUGUGAGAAGUUGCUUUACCGUAAUUAAAACUAACCCUUACGAAAUGCAUUUAUCCAAAAUGGUUUCCUAGAAAUUUUCUCCUCCACAGACUACAUUACCCUCCCGGUAGUGCAGCUGGGGGCCGAUCUGCCCAGCCGGCAUAAAGAGGGAUGAUUUAGAUCACUGAGCUCCAGCUCUUGGGUAGUGCUUUUUGCCACCAUGAAAUGCCUCAGGAAUUAAGGCACACCAGAAAACUCACUCGAAUCGCAUUUUAAAAAGCGUUUUCCACCAGUCACUAUGUUAGCAGACAUUAUUGUCACCAGAAAGCCUCUGCUAAUCUUACAAAGCAUCUGCGAUGAAUAAUCUUCCCCUCCCCCAUUCUUAUUUGCUGCCAGAAACAGCUUAUAAAUGCUUACUUGAAAUCUCUGCCAAAUUUUGUUUUUAGGCACGCCGUUGUAAAUAGAGAGUAUUUCCCCCGAUCUGGGUAGGAUCCCUCUGGAUUUACACGGGCGCGAAUGAAGCCCCGGCUUUGCCUGGUCCGUUCUCAGCCGCCCCUCGCUGCCCUGCAGGCUGCAGCGCUGCCGCCUCUGCCGCUGGUGGAGGGCGAGUGCUCGAGCACAGCCCGUCCAUCGCUGACAAAUUAUUAUAAACAGAUUUGAACAAAUAUUUCUUUG
Gallus gallus (chicken) is the source of this 5777-nucleotide long non-coding RNA. The record is from Ensembl. Lineage: Eukaryota; Metazoa; Chordata; Aves; Galliformes; Phasianidae.